GGUUGGAUUCAAGACGUCGAUAUGUUGUCUCAUCCUGGAUUAGUCGUCGGACCAUAUCCAGAUCACACAAUGCUUGAUUCUCCUCACAGUUGUCUGAUUGGCUCCAGAUUCCUCCGCACGAUGGAAGACUAAGAACAUUUUCUUCGCUCCUUCUCAAAUCGUUUUCCUGCUCCAUAAAGUUACUUAUUCUUCAUUGGUCUAUUAUGUUCCUGUUACAAGUUUUUCUAUGCUAUCAAAGAAAGAGGGAUAUUUGAAUACCCCACAGACUUAUAUUACUUAGCCUGUUCCUGAUUGGCUGCUUAUU
Long non-coding RNA from Hyla sarda, 304 nucleotides. RefSeq lists it as uncharacterized. The transcript has 3 exons. The record is from RefSeq and is a predicted model, not a curated record. Lineage: Eukaryota; Metazoa; Chordata; Amphibia; Anura; Hylidae.